This 475-nucleotide ribosomal RNA is filed under the name Bradyrhizobium sp. RNAcentral's name for it is "bacterial SSU rRNA". It matches the Rfam family "Bacterial small subunit ribosomal RNA", at positions 166 to 675 of the family's 1533-position model. Lineage: Bacteria; Pseudomonadati; Pseudomonadota; Alphaproteobacteria; Hyphomicrobiales; Nitrobacteraceae. The record is from RNAcentral.
AUACCGGAUAAGCCCUUACGGGGAAAGAUUUAUCGCCGAAAGAUCGGCCCGCGUCUGAUUAGCUAGUUGGUGAGGUAAUGGCUCACCAAGGCGACGAUCAGUAGCUGGUCUGAGAGGAUGAUCAGCCACAUUGGGACUGAGACACGGCCCAAACUCCUACGGGAGGCAGCAGUGGGGAAUAUUGGACAAUGGGCGCAAGCCUGAUCCAGCCAUGCCGCGUGAGUGAUGAAGGCCCUAGGGUUGUAAAGCUCUUUUGUGCGGGAAGAUAAUGACGGUACCGCAAGAAUAAGCCCCGGCUAACUUCGUGCCAGCAGCCGCGGUAAUACGAAGGGGGCUAGCGUUGCUCGGAAUCACUGGGCGUAAAGGGUGCGUAGGCGGGUCUUUAAGUCAGGGGUGAAAUCCUGGAGCUCAACUCCAGAACUGCCUUUGAUACUGAAGAUCUUGAGUUCGGGAGAGGUGAGUGGAACUGCGAGUG